This 329-nucleotide unclassified non-coding RNA is filed under the name soil metagenome. RNAcentral's name for it is "partial contains 5.8S ribosomal RNA, internal transcribed spacer 2, and large subunit ribosomal RNA". The stretch from base 1 to 120 matches the Rfam family "5.8S ribosomal RNA", at positions 35 to 154 of the family's 154-position model. The record is from RNAcentral.
GAUGAAGAACGCAGCGAAAUGCGAUAAUUAAUGUGAAUUGCAGAAUUCAGUGAAUCAUCGAGUCUUUGAACGCACAUUGCGCCCCUUGGUAUCCCGAGGGGCAUGCCUGUUCGAGCGUCAUUUCACCACUCAAGCCUGGCUUGGUGUUGGGCGACGUCCUCUUUGGGGACGCGCCUCGAAACGCUCGGCGGCGUGGCACCGGCUUUAAGCGUAGCAGAAUCUUUCGCUUUGGAAGUCGGGGCCCCGUCUGCCGGAAGACCUGCUCGCAAGGUUGACCUCGGAUCAGGCAGGGAUACCCGCUGAACUUAAGCAUAUCAAUAAGCGGAGGA